Molecule: small nuclear RNA, 163 nt
Organism: Echinops telfairi (small Madagascar hedgehog)
Lineage: Eukaryota; Metazoa; Chordata; Mammalia; Afrosoricida; Tenrecidae
Gene: U1
Rfam family: U1 spliceosomal RNA
About the family: U1 is a small nuclear RNA (snRNA) component of the spliceosome (involved in pre-mRNA splicing). Its 5' end forms complementary base pairs with the 5' splice junction, thus defining the 5' donor site of an intron. There are significant differences in sequence and secondary structure between metazoan and yeast U1 snRNAs, the latter being much longer (568 nucleotides as compared to 164 nucleotides in human).
Source: Ensembl
ACACUUCCCUGGCAGGUGAGGCACCAUGAUCAUGAAGGUGGCUGUCCCAGGUGAGGUCUGCCCAUUGCACUACAGAUCUGCCAACCCCAGCCAUUCCCACACUGUAGGAAACCCAACUGCAAAAUUCGUGAUAGCUAGGGACUGCAUUCACACUAUCCCCUGU